GACGAACGCUGGCGGCGUGCUUAACACAUGCAAGUCGAACGGAAAGGCCCUGCUUUUGUGUGGUGCUCGAGUGGCGAACGGGUGAGUAACACGUGAGUAACCUGCCCUGGACUUUGGGAUAACUUCAGGAAACUGGGGCUAAUACCGGCUAGGAGCUCCUGCUGCAUGGUGGGGGUUGGAAAGUUUCGGCGGUUGGGGAUGGACUCGGGGCUUAUCAGCUUGUUGGUGGGGUAGUGGCUUACCAAGGCUUUGAAGGGUAGCCGGCCUGGGAGGGUGACCGGCCACAUUGGGACUGAGGUACGGCCCAGACUCCUACGGGAGGCAGCAGUGGGGAAUAUUGCACAAUGGGCGGAAGCCUGAUGCAGCAACGCCGCGUGCGGGAUGACGGCCUUCGGGUUGUAAACCGCUUUAGCCUGUGACGAAGCGUGAGUGACGGUAAUGGGUAAAGAAGCACCGGCUAACUACGUG
RNAcentral lists this ribosomal RNA (468 nucleotides) under uncultured bacterium. RNAcentral describes it as "partial 16S ribosomal RNA". It matches the Rfam family "Bacterial small subunit ribosomal RNA", at positions 28 to 507 of the family's 1533-position model. The record is from RNAcentral.